Molecule: long non-coding RNA, 852 nt
Organism: Pyrgilauda ruficollis (rufous-necked snowfinch)
Lineage: Eukaryota; Metazoa; Chordata; Aves; Passeriformes; Passeridae
Exons: 5
Source: RefSeq, a predicted model, not a curated record
UUUCAGCCCUGCAGACUCAUUUUUACCAAGCUGGAAUGAUUCAGUGUUAAUCAUGUUUUCUAAAGGAGGAAGAAAAGCAAACCUGGUGUUUGCUGUGAAUUGGUGAAGAUUAAAUUACUCGACACAAACUCAGGAUUACUUUGGGCAGCAAGAUGUAGAGGGAGGCACAGGUCUGCUCAACAGUAGCUUUGCUAUUGGAACUUUUCAAUGAGAUCAAAUUCAGGAAAGGAGACAAAGAUGACUUCUACUAUUUGCAUUAAAGUGACUGCUGUGAGUCCCCAAAAAUUACAGAAACUGAUUCAUAUUCUUUGGAUACUCCUCAGUGAAACUGAGUGAUGAUACCAGCAGAUUAAUAAUGCAAGUUAAGAAACAAAGAACAACCUUCCCCUGGUGUGUGAAAUGUCUGUUACUUGAGAGAAGUUCAGGAUCUUCUUGAGAAGUGCCGCCUCUGAAAGGUCCUUUUUGCUGAAUAAGACAUUAUUAUUCAGGGGAUAUUCUUUAUUUCUUCUCUGCUAACUUAUUCCUGUAAAUUUUAAAUCAACAUCUAACAAUUUUUUUUUUGUAAUAUAUAACUUCUAUUCAAAGAAAAAAUUUUUUUGGAGGUGUGUUAAAAUUAUUACAGUAGUUGAAAGAUGGGUUACUGGUGAUUUAUAGGUGAUUUGAGCACUGAAUGAGCUGCUGUUUGCUCUCACAUCAUGCCAAGACUUUUCACUCUCCUUUCCAAAAGAGGUUGUUCUGCUUUUCAUUGUGCCACAGAGUAAUGUCAAGUUAUUAAGCGUCACUUGACACAAUGGAAUACAUAUUUUAAAGAAAAAAGAACACAAAUAUACCUUUUUUGGUAAAAAAAAAAAA